GGGUUAUACAAUGCUCUGUACAAAGAACUAAAAUUUUUAAAUAAUGUAAAAACAAAAUGCGCACGUCUUAAUGAAAGGCCAACUGAAAACAAUUGCGCUGGAAGUAUUCGCAAUAUUUUUGUGAAUACUAGCAUGGAAAAUCAAAACGAAAGCAAAAAUAUUGUCUUUGAUAAAAUACAGCGGACUUUGCAGUAUAUUGCCAAUAAAAAUUUUAAAAAUUCUCCCAAAACACCGGCAGAAGUGAGGAAGUUUUCCAAGACGCAGCAGUUUUUGAUAAAUUCGGUUAUUCCAAAUUAAAUGGCAAUAAACAAUGGCAGUUUUUCAACAUAUGCUACUAAGAAAAAGACUUUGCAUAUUGCGUUUUUUGUUUCGAAAGAACUGUUGAACUGAUGAAAGAAUGCAUUCCUGUUAAUUCGAAAAGAAACAUUUUAAUUGAUGAAGAGCUGUCAACAGUACUAGCCGAAGUGGAAGCCAUUCUCAACUCGCGUCCAGUAGCACCGUUGAGCCAAGACCCCAACGAUGGAGAAGCUCUAACGCCAGCACACCUGCUGAUCGGUUGCCCUCUACGAGCACUGCCACCAGCACAAGUGCCAACGGACAUAAUUCGUUGUUGCGAGAGAUGGCAACUUGUUUGCUGUCUCAAGCAACAGUUUUGGCAGCAGUGGUCCAAAACGUAUCUCACGAGCCUUCAAGAGCGGAACAAAUGGUUACAUCCGGAGCGGAAUCUGCAGGCCGGGGACCUCGUCCUCGUACACGAAGACAACACACCACCGCAGCAGUGGGUACUAGGACGAGUCGCCGCAACCGUAGAAGGGCAAGACGGCAAGGUGCGAGUGGCAGACGUGGCAACGAAAGCAGGCACAAUCAAGCGGCCCAUUCAUAAGAUCGCCCUGCUACCCAUCAACGUUGAAGGAUCAUGAUCCUGUCAAGGCGGCCGGUCUUGCGUCAAGCGACAUCCUUUAAACAUAAAUACUAUUUUUAAACAUAAUACUAAACGAAUGUUUAUGAAUUAAUUUUAUAUUAAAUAUUUAAAUUAAAAUGUUAAAGUUUAUUUUAUAUUAUAUUAUACUCACCCUAAUAAUACUGUUUAUAUACUCACCAUAAUUUUCUACCAUAAUGUAACGAAUUGAAUUCUACUUACCCCUUUUUUAUAAAUACAUAUUUACGCGUCCCGUUAGUUUAAGCCGUUAGGUUAAGGUAAGAAUUUAAUUGUGUAAGAAGAACAUUCGCGAGCGGUCGCUAUUUCAUUUUCUCGGCACAGGCAAUUUUGUAUAUUCGGUUCACGCAUUCCCAAUUAAUCAGUUUUCUCAAAAAAGCUUGAGAU
Bactrocera dorsalis (oriental fruit fly) is the source of this 1324-nucleotide long non-coding RNA. RefSeq lists it as uncharacterized. NCBI's taxonomy places the organism in Eukaryota, Metazoa, Arthropoda, Insecta, Diptera, Tephritidae. The record is from RefSeq and is a predicted model, not a curated record. The transcript is spliced from 3 exons.